RNAcentral lists this ribosomal RNA (497 nucleotides) under uncultured bacterium. Its description in RNAcentral is "partial 16S ribosomal RNA". It matches the Rfam family "Bacterial small subunit ribosomal RNA", at positions 28 to 507 of the family's 1533-position model. The record is from RNAcentral.
GAUGAACGCUGGCGGCGUGCCUAAUACAUGCAAGUCGAGCGAACGGACGAGAAGCUUGCUUCUCUGAUGUUAGCGGCGGACGGGUGAGUAACACGUGGAUAACCUACCUAUAAGACUGGGAUAACUUCGGGAAACCGGAGCUAAUACCGGAUAAUAUUUUGAACCGCAUGGUUCAAACGUGAAAGACGGUCUUGCUGUCACUUAUAGAUGGAUCCGCGCUGCAUUAACUAGUUGGUAAGGUAACGGCUUACCAAGGCAACGAUGCAUAGCCGACCUGAGAGGGUGAGCGGCCACACUGGAACUGAGACACGGUCCAGACUCCUACGGGAGGCAGCAGUAGGGAAUCUUCCGCAAUGGGCGAAAGCCUGACGGAGCAACGCCGCGUGAGGGAUGAAGGUCUUCGGAUCGUAAAACUCUGUUAUUAGGGAAGAACAUAUGUGUAAGUAACGGUGCACAUCUUGACGGUACCUAAUCAGAAAGCCACGGCUAACUACGUG